GCAGUCGAGCGGACAGAAGGGAGCUUGCUCCCGGAUGUUAGCGGCGGACGGGUGAGUAACACGUGGGUAACCUGCCUGUAAGACUGGGAUAACUCCGGGAAACCGGAGCUAAUACCGGAUAGUUCCUUGAACCGCAUGGUUCAAGGAUGAAAGACGGUUUCGGCUGUCACUUACAGAUGGACCCGCGGCGCAUUAGCUAGUUGGUGGGGUAAUGGCUCACCAAGGCGACGAUGCGUAGCCGACCUGAGAGGGUGAUCGGCCACACUGGGACUGAGACACGGCCCAGACUCCUACGGGAGGCAGCAGUAGGGAAUCUUCCGCAAUGGACGAAAGUCUGACGGAGCAACGCCGCGUGAGUGAUGAAGGUUUUCGGAUCGUAAAGCUCUGUUGUUAGGGAAGAACAAGUGCGAGAGUAACUGCUCGCACCUUGACGGUACCUAACCAGAAAGCCACGGCUAACUACGUGCCAGCAGCCGCGGUAAUACGUAGGUGGCAAGCGUUGUCCGGAAUUAUUGGGCGUAAAGGGCUCGCAGGCGGUUUCUUAAGUCUGAUGUGAAAGCCCCCGGCUCAACCGGGGAGGGUCAUUGGAAACUGGGAAACUUGAGUGCAGAAGAGGAGAGUGGAAUUCCACGUGUAGCGGUGAAAUGCGUAGAGAUGUGGAGGAACACCAGUGGCGAAGGCGACUCUCUGGUCUGUAACUGACGCUGAGGAGCGAAAGCGUGGGGAGCGAACAGGAUUAGAUAC
RNAcentral lists this ribosomal RNA (744 nucleotides) under Bacillus pumilus. RNAcentral describes it as "bacterial SSU rRNA". It matches the Rfam family "Bacterial small subunit ribosomal RNA", at positions 57 to 785 of the family's 1533-position model. Lineage: Bacteria; Bacillati; Bacillota; Bacilli; Caryophanales; Bacillaceae. The record is from RNAcentral.